GAUGAAGAACGCAGCGAAAUGCGAUACGUAGUGUGAAUUGCAGAAUUCCGUGAAUCAUCGAAUCUUUGAACACAAAUUGUACUUUCCAGUAUUCUGGGAAGUAUGCUUGGUUGAGGGUCAUUAAAAUAACAUUCGUGAAUUUUUUUGCGGAUUUGAGUUUUCCAGUAUUUAUAAAAAUGUUGGUAACUUUAAAAUUAUUAUUACUUGGUACAAGUUGAAAACGUUCUAUAUGUGUGGUUCGCUGACAACUUGUCCAUCAUCAUAUAUUAUGCGCGCACUUGGUUUUUUACGCUCUGUACGAGUAUAUAUUUUUUUUUAUGACCUCAGCUCAAGUAAGAAUACCCGCUGAACUUAAGCAUAUCAAUAAGCGGAGGA
This 375-nucleotide unclassified non-coding RNA is filed under the name soil metagenome. RNAcentral's name for it is "partial contains 5.8S ribosomal RNA, internal transcribed spacer 2, and large subunit ribosomal RNA". The stretch from base 1 to 120 matches the Rfam family "5.8S ribosomal RNA", at positions 35 to 154 of the family's 154-position model. The record is from RNAcentral.